CAGCAGGCGAGCUCUUGGGCUUUCUGGUGAGGCAGACUGUAAUUAACAUUUGUAGAAGAAAGAGACUGGAAAGUGACUCCUACAGUCCCCCCCAUGUCCGCCGGAAACAGAAAAUCACCGACAUUGUCAACAAGUACCGGAACAAGCAGCUGGAGCCAGAGUUUUAUACUUCACUUUUCCAGGAGGUUGGACUCAAGAACUGCAGUUCUUAGACCACUGAAUUUCUAAGACUGUUGAACUCCAGUUUGGGAACUAUAACACAGCAGAACAGUUUGAUAGGUGAUCACUGUAAAAAUAAAAACAAAUCACUCCCAAGAGCUUACUGUUUAAUCACCAGAAUAGAAGAAACACAUUAUAACCCAUUUGAUAGAAGACUUUGGGCUAUCUAGUGAAAUGGGCUCCCAGACACAAUCAUACUCCUGCUGAUAAUGAUGAUAUACAUUUUAGCCAUAAACUUUCUUUUAAAAGUGACAAUUUUAGUUAAACAUAAGCCUUUUGAGGAGAAAGGCUUUUAUGCAUCUCAGUUAAACACGUGCAUUGGUAGUAUCAACAAAUUUGCAAUAUAGAAGUUGAAGAUAGUUUUAUACCUCACUUUUUAGGAGGUUGUAUUCAAAAUUAAAAUCUUUCUCAGAAUCUUACAGGACAUUUAAAGACUCAUGUUGAUAGCAUGGAGGAGAAGGAAAGAAGUCACAGCCUUCUACUCACUUGUAGGUCUUCUUGUCAUCCAGCUGUCACACUGACAAAAAGAAAAGAUGAUACAUGUUUUUUGCUCAGAUAAGAAGCCUGACAUUAAAAGAUGUCAUAUUUUUUUCUCCACAUUUCAAAAAGUUGUCCUUCUCAUCACUGCACAGAUCUGUCUGAAAGCCUCAGUUUCUGAGUGACCCAGGAACAGAUCAGAAAUGGAGCAUGGCCUUGUCCUUUAAUGGGGAUGCAAAUAAAGUUUGUGGGGUUAAAAGUUAUAAGACAGCAGUGAUACCCCACUCUCUCCAUUAUUGUCCAGCGGGGUGACAUAAUGACAGGACCAAGCAGCAAACUGCAGUAGUUUGUGAAGGAUUCUAAUAUGGGGUUCAGGAAUAGCCUCUCAACGCUACUAAUUCAGAUCUCUCCCAGAGAACUACUGGAUUUCCUCAUAAUUGACAAACAUGAGUGACCACCUCUUUGGGUGGCUACUGUUAGAAAUGGCUGUUGUUGUCAUGUUUUCUGGACUUUGCCAGCCAACAGAUCCCUGCCAGGUUUUGGAAAUACUUCUAUUACCUCGCUGCUACUUUUCUGCAGGGAUAAAACUUUUGAGGUGGCCAGACCCAGAACAUCCAAGGAUUCCUGUUACAGUGCUACAGUAUACACUGCUCAUUUAUCCUAUUCUCAUGUGCUUUCUUCUUUAGUAAGAUUAUUUUAAGAAAAUACGUGAUAUUUAAAGUCCAAAGAGGAAUGAUCACAGUUGUAUAAGGGGUGUUUUCCCACUUGAACUCUGAUGUCAGUUGACUGUGGGUCAGAGCUACAACCAUCUGUUUGGUUUGAUGUUUUGGUGGUUUACUUACGGAGUGGGGAUAGUGUGAGACCUAAUUCCCUGUGCAAAUGUCUCUUAUUCCAGAAAUGUGCAUUUUGUCAUCUAUAAGCAAGAAAUAUGGGCAUAGCAGCUCUUGGUUUAAAGUUUGCCAUAACCUGUUCAUGUUUGUUUUAAGCUCAGGUAAAGAUAACCUCCUCUUUCUAUGACUCCAGUUUCCAUUCAGGUUAUAGUAUUAUUCAAUAGUUGAUUUUCUUUUUAAGCUGGGCAAUAAAUUGAUGUUUCCAGAUGGUAACAUGGGAGAGGGCAUAUAGGAUAAAGAUGAGCAAAUUCUACCCUAAAAAUGUUCUAGUAGUUCACAGGAAGAAGAUGAGGUUUAAUAACUUUCAAGGUAAUUCUAGAUUGACAUUUUGAGGGGAAAAUGGGCUCUUGUUCUAGUUGAAGUGAGCAGAGAAGGCUAUAAAUUAGUAUGUAACUUACAGCAUUCCAGAGGUUAAAAAUAACUGAUGUAGAUGUACUUCUUCAGUGUGAUUCUUCAGAUCAAACUUUUACUUUUGGCAUAGUUAAUUUCAGAAAAAUGUGCUGUAUGUGUGUGUGUAUGAGGGUUGGUCUUGCUGAUCCUUGAGUUAGCUCUAAAUUCUGGCAACUUCUUGUAAUUCCAAUGUAUUUGAUACAUGAACAAUCAUGUUGAAUGCAUUUGUGAUCUGGGAGACUCCCUCGUCUUCCAGGGAAGGAAGGAUGUGCAGCCCCUGAAGGCAUGAAACUCCCAGUGUGUACGGAGCCAGUGGAAUAUGGGAUACCCAUACAUUACCAGGCGCUGGUUCCUUCUGCUUACAAUAACAUCUGCCCAAAGAGGGAGUGGGAAGAACCCUUAGCUCUUUCACUAGUAUGGAUUUGAGUUCAUGGUCACUAUUUUUACCCACCUGCCUGUGUUAAAAAUCACUUUGAGUAGAAUAGCACUGGAGGAACAUAUUUAGCACCUAAUAUUAAUAUUUAGUAGUCCAUUGAUAAAUUUGCCAGCAUAUGUUCUAGCCUCUGGUGGGAAACCAGGACCACUUUUGUCUGUGGCUUAAACAGUUCAGUUGCUAUAUCUGUUGGGUAUGCCGGGGGUGGAUGAGUGUGGCAUUCUGUGAAGAGGAAGGUGGUAAGUAAGGUUGCCCUUCUACUGCCUUCUUAAGUUGCAGGAGGGAGCUUUUCUCCUCCCCUCUGGUUGGGAGCACUGAGGACAGUGAGGAGGGCUUUUACCUUGUUAAUCCUUUCCUUAUUUAGCUAGCUUUCCUUUUUGUCUAGGGCUUCCUCCUGAGACCCUCUUCCAUCCAUUGGGCCUUUGAAAGGACUAAUCAGACACACACACACACACACACACACACUCGCAUACUCAUGCACAUUUUCCUUCAUUUCCAGAUCCUUUAUUUCACAGCAGCCCAUUUUCCUCUGGAUUCAUUGAUGAAUACAAGUACCCACACCUUUGGCCAGUAAUGUCAGUUACCUGCUGCAGGUUCUGUGUAUGAGGCCUUCAUGAACGGUUACCUUCUCCAUACACUAGGGAAGCAUUUGUCAGACUCUGCAGACUGGGUUCUAGAGAGGCAGAGUCUUAAAGAGUAUUCAUUUCUUCUGGAAGGUGGAGCUUUACCCAAAGUGGAAGUUAGCCUUGCUCAAAGAUGUGUUUUGUGGUAGGUGGUAAAAAUAAAUAAAUAAAUAAAUAAAUAAAUAAUAAAAAAAGAAACAUGUAUUGGAGGUAAUUUGACACUGCUGCUGGCAGUAGUUCUCUAUUCACCAUUUUAAAGCCCAUUCAGGUUCUCUCUUCCUGAAAAGAACUGAUUGCUGUGUUUACAUGAAAUGACAUUGGAGUCAUAUGGUCUGUUUUAAAGAUUUCCAUGACAGCCUCUUUUCCUGAGUUGGAGAGAUUGGAGGUGGUCUAUCCGUACGAUGUGGAAUCAAACGGUGGGUUUCUUAGUAGCUAAAGAAGCCAUGUACUUCUAGUGUGUUUCUCAGAAUAUCAACUCAUGUUCUUCAGAUGCUUUUCUUUUUUUAAUGGUGAGGGAAAAGGUAUAAUUUGGGAUUCCACAGUGCCUUGCAUAUAGUAGGCGCCCAAUAAAUACUUGUUGAAGCAAACCAAGUUUCCCAAGUCCUCAUCUCUUAUAGUGACCAAGACAUCUUUCUCCUCUGAAGGGCUUGGCAGUUGUGGCUAAAAAAUAAGCAGUAUCAUUAUUUGCUUGAAAUCAUAUAUACAGUUUGUAUGAAUUUCAGUAUGUUGCCAAGACAUGAUCUUUUUCUUAUUGUAUUUUCUGUAAAUAUUUCUGGCACUGAACUGUAAAGUAAAGGCAAAGUGUAAAUAUGAAGGCGUGCCCGUGCCCCUUGCCUCCUGUGUUUCAUCUUCGUCGGUUAGGGAAGAAGGUCCAGAGGUUUGUUUGUAUUUAUGCCGAUCCUUUGUCCAGAAGAAGCCCAUGGAAUAUUGAAUGUAAUACAUUUAGUCAAUUAAAUUUUAAGGAGAUUCUUAUCUAAUAACUUUGUGUGUG
Molecule: long non-coding RNA, 4023 nt
Filed under: Pan troglodytes (chimpanzee)
Lineage: Eukaryota; Metazoa; Chordata; Mammalia; Primates; Hominidae
Description: long non-coding RNA NONPTRT008930
Source: RNAcentral